GUCGAGUGGUGGUUCUUUAUUCUAUGGAGUGGUUCUGAAAGCGCUGCGUUAGGGGCGACUGCAACCAGGCGUUGCGGCAAGUUACGGUGGGAACUUCUGUCCGUGCUGUGUGAUUGCGACGAGGACGACUGCCGCCAGCAGCGGCGUGUCGCCGAUUUCGUCUUUGCCGACAUCGAGCAAGUGCAGCGCCGGAAGUGUUGCGUUUUGCACUGCAUUUUCCUUGUGAUAUGGGAGAUCGCAACGCAGAGACGACCAGAUGCACACGAAAGACUACCAGCGGAGAGUGACCUGUGCCAUAUUUCUCUUAACCUCUCAGGUAUUCAAGAAAUGGCAACAUCCAGAAGAAGAUGCCAUCUUAUCCAGCACGUUAUGGGUACACUCUGGUGGCUCCCGCCCCUGCAUCCUACGACCACCGUGUCCUCACUAUGUUCACUAGGGAGUUCGAAGCCUUCGUGAUGAUGCGAAGCAGGCUGGAAGCUGACAGAACGAUCGAGGUUGCCUCGAAAUUUUACCCAAGCCGUGCCACACACUUGGGCCAGGCCUCUUGCAAACGACGUAUAACCAGGCUCAACGCAGGAUGUCGAGUGAAUCCGGAGAUCGAGGCAACCUGCUGUGCAACCAGCGUGCAACCUUUGGUGACCCUCAAUAUGUUCCACCUAUUUCACAGCCGCACUCAGCUUCCACCUAUCCAAACCGCAUCGCCAGCUGUGGUCACUCAUCGAACCAUGGAUGAAUGUUGGGGUGGAGUGAUUUGAAGAGACAUUUUUUUUGUCUCUUCAAAUCCUUAGCAAAUACUUGUGGCAUAAUUAAUAUGUGUCUUUAGUGCCUAGUUUUUAAUGGUUCCUUUCUAUUAGAAAUCUCGCCAUCGAUUCCUGCUAUGGUAAUGUAUGUGUGUCUUUAUGCACAGUUUUUCAUAGUUCUUUUGUACUUGUCUAUGUAAUUGAUAGGUUCAUACUUCUUGUUACACAGAAGGCUAAAAUGCAAA
This is a long non-coding RNA of Dermacentor albipictus, 985 nucleotides long. RefSeq lists it as uncharacterized. NCBI's taxonomy places the organism in Eukaryota, Metazoa, Arthropoda, Arachnida, Ixodida, Ixodidae. The record is from RefSeq and is a predicted model, not a curated record.